AAGAAGGCCUUAGGGUUGUAAAGCUCUUUCAGGGGUGAGGAUUAUGACAGUAACCCCAGAAGAAGCACCGGCUAACUUCGUGCCAGCAGCCGCGGUAAUACGAAGGGUGCAAGCGUUGUUCGGAAUCACUGGGCGUAAAGGGCGUGUAGGCGGACUGACAAGUUAGAGGUGAAAGCCCCGGGCCCAACCUGGGAACUGCCUUUAAAACUGUUAGUCUAGAAUCCGGGAGGGGAGUGUGGAAUUCCUAGUGUAGAGGUGAAAUUCGUAGAUAUUAGGAAGAACACCGGUGGCGAAGGCGACACUCUGGACCGGUAUUGACGCUGAGGCGCGAAAGCGUGGGGAGCAAACAGGAUUAGAUACCCUGGUAGUCCACGCCGUAAACGAUGUGGGGAGCCGAAGUGAAAAUAUGGAUUUUGGUUAACGCUCUCCUAGGACUUGGAUUGACUUGGA
This 450-nucleotide ribosomal RNA is filed under the name uncultured Alphaproteobacteria bacterium. RNAcentral's name for it is "bacterial SSU rRNA". It matches the Rfam family "Bacterial small subunit ribosomal RNA", at positions 408 to 858 of the family's 1533-position model. Lineage: Bacteria; Pseudomonadati; Pseudomonadota; Alphaproteobacteria. The record is from RNAcentral.